RNAcentral lists this ribosomal RNA (439 nucleotides) under uncultured bacterium. RNAcentral describes it as "bacterial SSU rRNA". It matches the Rfam family "Bacterial small subunit ribosomal RNA", at positions 958 to 1397 of the family's 1533-position model. The record is from RNAcentral.
AACGCGAAGAACCUUACCUGGGUUUGACAUCCUUUGAAAUUAGUAGAGAUAUUAAUGGCUCGCAAGAGACAAAGAGACAGGUGCUGCAUGGCUGUCGUCAGCUCGUGUUGUGAAAUGUUGGGUUAAGUCCCGCAACGAGCGCAACCCUUGUCUUUGGUUGCCAUCAUUAAGUUGGGCACUCCAGAGAGACUGCCGUCGUCAAGACGGAGGAAGGUGGGGAUGACGUCAAGUCCUCAUGGCCUUUAUAUCCAGGGCGACACACGUGAUACAAUGGUAGGUACAAAGGGCAGCCAAGUGGCAACACGGAGCAAAAUCCCAAAAAACCUAUCUCAGUUCGGAUUGGAGUCUGCAACUCGACUCCAUGAAGUUGGAAUCGCUAGUAAUCGCGGAUCAGCACGCCGCGGUGAAUACGUUCCCGGGCCUUGUACACACCGCACGA